UCCGGUUGAUCCUGCCGGACCUGACUGCUAUCGGAUCGGUACUAAGCCAUGCGAGUCGUUGUAGCAAUACAAGGCGGACGGCUCAGUAACACGUAGUCAACCUAACCUAUGGACGUGGAUAACCUCGGGAAACUGAGAAUAAACCGCGAUAGAUCAUAAUGCCUGGAAUGGCUUAUGGUUCAAACAAUUUAUUGCCGUAGGAUGGGACUGCGGCCUAUCAGCUUGUUGGUGAGGUAAUGGCCCACCAAGGCGAUUACAGGUACGGGCUCUGAGAGGAGAAGCCCGGAGAUGGGUACUGAGACACGGACCCAGGCCCUAUGGGGCGCAGCAGGCGAGAAACCUUAGCAAUGUGCGAAAGCACGACUGGGUCAGUCCGAGUGAUUCCUGAUAAAGGAGUCUUUUGCCUGUCCUAAAAGCACAGGUGAAUAAGGGGUGGGCAAGUCUGGUGUCAGCCGCCGCGGUAAUACCAGCACCUCGAGUGGUCAGGACGUUUAUUGGGCUUAAAGCAUCCGUAGCCGGCUCUGCAAGUCUUCGGUUAAAUCCACCUGCUCAACAGAUGGGCCGCUGGAGAUACUACAGAGCUAGGGAGUGGGAGAGGCAGACGGUAUUCAGUGGGUAGGGGUAAAAUCCUCUGAUCCAUUGAGGACCACCAGUGGCGAAGGCGGUCUGCCAGAACACGUUCGACGGUGAGGGAUGAAAGCUGGGGGAGCAAACCGGAUUAGAUACCCGGGUAGUCCCAGCUGUAAACGAUGCAAACUCGGUGAUGCAUUGGCUUAUGGCCAAUGCAGUGCCGCAGGGAAGCCGUUAAGUUUGCCGCCUGGGAAGUACGGACGCAAGUCUGAAACUUAAAGGAAUUGGCGGGGAGCACCACAAGGGUGAGCCUGCGGUUCAAUUGGAGUCAACGCCGGA
Molecule: ribosomal RNA, 909 nt
Filed under: uncultured archaeon
Lineage: Archaea
Description: bacterial SSU rRNA
Rfam family: Archaeal small subunit ribosomal RNA
Source: RNAcentral